ACUAACUUGCCUUGUGUAUAUAUAUUCACAUGCACCUGCUUCAAAUUCAUUUCAUCUCCUAAUCCUAAGCCUUGAAGGCUAGAAAAAUCCUAGUUUCAUCUCCAAAAAUGGGUUAUGAUCAUACUCAUCACUUCUCCACAGCAACCAUUGUUUUUCUCAUUAGCAUCCUCUUCGUUGUAUCGAGCAAUCUCGACCUCGCCCUCGCCGCAAGACCCCUACCGGAAGAAGGGUGGUCGAAGAACAUUAGCAACGGCCAAAUAGAGUCGCUCCGAAGGGGGCCGGUGCCGCCGUCGAGUAGCUCUUCCUGCACAAACAUCCCCGGGCAGAACCGGGGCAAGUGCACGUUGAGCGGCAUGAACGUCGCCGGACGUGCCUUUGCUCGUGGACCAAGAAGCACUUUCCCGGCGGCUGUGAUGGCAAAAAUAUAGGACGAUGGAUGGUAAAGCUAUGGGACAAGAUUGGAGCUAUUUGAUUUAGGGUUCUGGGACCAUGCAAAGGAUGUAGAUAGCUAAUUAAACUAGGAAAUGAAAGAAAAAUUAAGUUUUAGUUUCAACCUUUAGGUUUUCUUCAGCUUUUGACUUUGUCACUCUCUAAAGCGAAUUGAUUAUUUGUUCAUUGCUCGUUUAGAUUCUCAUUAUCAAGUAAUUCAGUUUCCUUUGAUCAUAUUGUCUUGUAAGUUGAUUAAAGAUCUCUAUUCACGAAAUGGUACGGUGGAAAAUUAAUUUUAAAAAGAAGGCAAAAGAACUUUCGAACCCUUAAAUUGCU
Molecule: long non-coding RNA, 765 nt
Filed under: Eucalyptus grandis
Lineage: Eukaryota; Viridiplantae; Streptophyta; Magnoliopsida; Myrtales; Myrtaceae
Description: long non-coding RNA (EGRA_LNC000920)
Source: RNAcentral